AGUGGGGAAUCUUGGACAAUGGGGGCAACCCUGAUCCAGCAAUGCCGCGUGGGUGAAGAAGGCCUUCGGGUUGUAAAGCCCUUUCGGCAGGGAAGAAAUCGGUGGAGUGAAUAACUCCACUGGAUGACGGUACCUGCAGAAGAAGCACCGGCUAACUACGUGCCAGCAGCCGCGGUAAUACGUAGGGUGCGAGCGUUAAUCGGAUUUACUGGGCGUAAAGCGUGCGCAGGCGGCUCGUUAAGACAGGUGUGAAAUCCCUGGGCUCAACCUAGGAAUUGCGCUUGUGACUGGCGAGCUCGAGUACGGUAGAGGGGGGUGGAAUUCCUGGUGUAGCAGUGAAAUGCGUAGAGAUCAGGAGGAACACCGAUGGCGAAGGCAGCCUCCUGGGCCUGUACUGACGCUUAGGCACGAAAGCGUGGGGAGCAAA
RNAcentral lists this ribosomal RNA (427 nucleotides) under Hydrogenophilus islandicus. Its description in RNAcentral is "bacterial SSU rRNA". It matches the Rfam family "Bacterial small subunit ribosomal RNA", at positions 353 to 772 of the family's 1533-position model. Lineage: Bacteria; Pseudomonadati; Pseudomonadota; Hydrogenophilia; Hydrogenophilales; Hydrogenophilaceae. The record is from RNAcentral.